RNAcentral lists this ribosomal RNA (253 nucleotides) under uncultured bacterium. RNAcentral describes it as "partial 16S ribosomal RNA". It matches the Rfam family "Bacterial small subunit ribosomal RNA", at positions 524 to 776 of the family's 1533-position model. The record is from RNAcentral.
UACGGAGGGUGCAAGCGUUAUCCGGAUUCACUGGGUUUAAAGGGUGCGUAGGUGGGCAGUUAAGUCAGUGGUGAAAUCUCCGGGCUCAACCCGGAAACUGCCAUUGAUACUAUCUAUCUUGAAUAUCGUGGAGGUAAGCGGAAUAUGUCAUGUAGCGGUGAAAUGCUUAGAUAUGACAUAGAACACCAAUUGCGAAGCCAGCUUACUACCCGAAUAUUGACACUGAGGCACGAAAGCGUGGGGAUCAAACAGG